Long non-coding RNA from Gallus gallus (chicken), 2391 nucleotides. The record is from Ensembl. Lineage: Eukaryota; Metazoa; Chordata; Aves; Galliformes; Phasianidae.
GACAAAACCAUUGCCAUGACAACAUAAUGAAGGCUGGAGAGUUGCUGGAGGAGGGAGUUUUGUGAACAAUGGGACAGCCUUGUUCAUUCUAAAAAAAGCAUUCCUGUUUUGGUGCAAGAAGUUUUGGCUGCAAACUCGGUUUUGACAAAGAUUUGUAUUGUAAACUCACUCAUUUACGGCCUUGAGAUGGUGCACCUGUAAAUCUAGUAGGCAUAAAAGGAUGCCUAAGAGAAGAUUCAUACUUUCAAGACUUGGAUGCUUCAGAACGAGUGCUUCUGGACCAAUGCCGGAAGCCAGACUGAAAGAAGGAAAAACAAGAAAGUAGACAACAGGAGUACAUAGGAGAAGACUGAAUAAUAGGGUCUUGGAGAACAGGAGAGGUGUGUGGAGACUCGAAUAGCCAAUGUCAAGGUCUUCAAAAUGGGAAAGAAGGAGGAUCCGGGAAACUAUGGGCCAGUCAGCCUCAUCUCUGUCCCUGGAAAAGUGCCAUCUCCAAGCAAUUGGUAAAGAAGAAGGUUAUCAGGAAUAGUCAGCAUGGAUUCACUAAGGGAAAAUCAUGCUUGAACAACAUUGUAGCCCUCUACAAUGGCAUCACCAGCUGGGUAGAUGUGGGGAGAGCAGUGGAUGCCAUCUACCUUGACUUCAGAAGGGCUUUUGAUACUGUGUCCCAUGACAUUCUGAUAAUGAAGCUGAGAAAGUGUGGUAUAGAUGAGUGGACAGUGAGGUGGGUUGAGAACGGGCUGACUGGCUAAGUUCAGAGGAUUGUGAUCAGUGGUACAGUCUGGUUGGAGACCUGUGACUAGCAGUGUUCCCCAGGGGUCAGUGCUGGGUCCGGUCUCGUUCAGUAUCUUCAUCGAUGACCUUGAUGAUGGGAGAGUGUCCACCCCUAGUUAGUAUGCCGAUGAUACAAAGCUGGGAGGAGUGGCUGACACACCUGAAGGCUGUGUUGCCAUUCAGCAAGAUCUGGACAGACUGGAGAGCUGGGCAGCAGAAAAUGAGAUGAGGUUUAACAAAAGCAAGUGCAGGGUCUUGCACCUGGAAAGGAAUAGUCAUAAGUAUCAGUACAGGCUGGGACAUGAACUGCUGGAGAGGAGAUCUGCAGAGAAGGACCUGGAGGUCCUGGUGGAUGACAGGUUGGUGAUGAGCCAGCGGUGUGCGCUGGUGGCCAAGAAGGCCAAUGGGAUUCUGGGGUGCAUUAAAAGGAGCAUGGCCAGCAGGUCAAGGGAGGUGAUCCUCCCCCUCUACUCUCUCUGCCCUGGUCAGGCCUCACCUGGAGUACUGUAUCCAGUUCUGGGCUCCCCAGUACAAAAAAGACAAGGAUCUCCUGGAGAGAGCCCAGUGGAGGGCCACAAAGAAGAUGAAGGGCCUGGAGCAUCUCUCUUAGGAGGAAAGGCUGAGUGAACUGGGUUCAGCCUUGAGAAAAGAAGACUCAGAGGUGAUCUUAUUAAUGUUUAUAAAUAUCUUAAGUGUGGGAGUCAAAGGGACAUGGCCAACCUCUUUUCAGUGAUCUCUGGGGACAGGACAAGGGCAAAUGGCCAUAAACUAGAGCACAGGAAGUUCUGCACCAAUUUGUGAAGGCACUUCUUCACAGUGAGAAUGAUGGAGCACUGAAACAGGCUGCCCAGGGAGGUUGUGGAUUCUCCUUCUCUGGAGAUAUUCAAGACGUGCCUGGAUGCCUACCUGUGCAGCUUUGUAUCUCUGCAGUUUUUUUUGGACUUGUUGAUCUCUGGAGGUUUCUUCCAACCACUGCAAUUCUGUGAUUCUGUGAUAUUUAAACACGAUUCACUUGAAAAAAAAAAAAACAAAAAACUUUAUUGUUUAUUUCUCCUCUUUUACUUAGCCAUUUUCUUUACAUCAAUUUUGAAGAAGCAUUAACACUCAUUUAUUUGUGUGCUUUUUUAAAAUCAAAAUAAAGAUGUUCAAAGGGUCUCUGCUGUCCUUUGCAAGUAGAAAGUAAAUGCAGAAACAAGAGGGAAGGUGCCUUAGCAACAGUCCCAGACUUCUUCCCUUUUGAAGCAUCAUCACAAUUACAAUCAUUAAUGUUGGUAAAAAAAGAUGAUAGUCUAGAUCUGAAAGAUAAUAAGGUUCUUUUAAACAAAGCACAAUGUGCUCCAUGCAGUAAUGGUAAAUACAAAUCAUAAACAAAUGGCAUUUUGCAUUAUGGUAGGCACUAAGGAAUUUCUCCCUGACCAGCAAGAAUUAACAGUAUUUUUCAUCUUUUAAAUAUAUUCUGUAAUUCAAGUUAUAAAGAAGAAUGUUAACUCUGUGCAAUAAAUGAAUUCAUAAUAAAACUCAACUCUUCUGUCCUUCUGUUGUGAUAGUUCAUGGGACAGCUUUUCUCUCUGUGCACUGAAAGAAUCUAAAACCUGUGGGAUAAAAACUGUAUACAAU